RNAcentral lists this ribosomal RNA (253 nucleotides) under uncultured bacterium. RNAcentral's name for it is "partial 16S ribosomal RNA". It matches the Rfam family "Bacterial small subunit ribosomal RNA", at positions 524 to 776 of the family's 1533-position model. The record is from RNAcentral.
UACAGAGGUCCCGAGCGUUGUUCGGAUUCACUGGGCGUAAAGGGUGCGUAGGUGGUGAGGUAAGUCGGAUGUGAAAUCUCCAAGCUCAACUUGGAAACUGCAUUGGAAACUACCUUGCUAGAGGAUUUGAGGGGGGAUUGGAAUACUUGGUGUAGCAGUGAAAUGCGCAGAUAUCAGGAGGAACACCGGUGGCGAAGGCGGGUCUCUGGGCCGAAAUUGACGCUGAGGAGCGAAAGCGUGGGGAGCAAACAGG